GACCAGCGUUUUGAGGACUAAUAGUCCGUG
Molecule: small RNA, 30 nt
Filed under: Bombyx mori (domestic silkworm)
Lineage: Eukaryota; Metazoa; Arthropoda; Insecta; Lepidoptera; Bombycidae
Description: ovarian small RNA-15452
Source: RNAcentral